UUUGAUCUUAUCCAUCCUUAUUUCACUCCUCUGAACCAAGUCGACAUUCAUCUUGACGAUCUCCUCAUACUGUGCUUUAGUCGACUUCAGUUCUUCAUUGGAGGUCUUCACGUCUCCUUUGGCUUGGGCCAACUCUUUCUGAAGUCCUUCAUUCGUAUGAAGAACGCCUUCACGUUGGGUCCUUUCCCGAGCCAAAACAGACUUCAGUAUGGCGUUCUCCUUCCUCAAUGCCUCUUCUUCGGAUUCAGCCUCGAGGGACCUCGGACGCAGACGCCCGAAUACAGCAUUCGCCUAUGCGUGUUCAGUAUUAUUUGAUCAGUUUCAGAUGUAUAAAUAUGAAGAUAAAUAUGGAAAUAAAUGAGAGAAUCAUUUACCUUCGCCAAGUAGCUCAUGCCUUCGCUAAGCAAAUCCCCGUUCGAACUGUUCCCGAAUCGAUGGUCAUCGGUCUCACGAAUGAAGGCCUCAAACAGUUGAAAGGGGAAGUUGGCAUUAAAUCGAGACCACAUGGUUGGAGAGGCCAUAGCGUCAUGCUGAAAUUCGGAGGUUGAACCUGGCUGGCUGUCUGAAGGUUGUUUUCUUUUUCGGGAUAAUAUGGGGUCAGAUUCGACCAGCUCAGCAUCAGGUGUUUGAAUUCCGGUGGGAAUUAUUGGGGGAAUGACCGUCGAAGAUAAUGGAGCUCGGAGUUCUUCGGCAGUGAGUGGGGUUAUCUUUGAUCUUAACUUUUUAACGCGAAGGACUUUCGCCCGAUCGCGUAGAGGUAUGUCAAGUAGACUCCUCUUAAUUGGAGCUGAUUCAGAAGGUGCAGUAACGGGGUCAGAUGGAGGGGUUGAUUGUGGGAUUGCUUCGGGAAGGAUCUCCUCGUCGCUUUCAGGAUCUAUAUCGCGAUGGAUAGUUCUGGCUUUUUUGGCAGCUUUCUUCCUUCGGCGAGGUCUGAGGGUUUCUUCGGGAAUGAGAGGCUCGUCAGCUUCAGGCUCAUCAUUCUGAAGGGAAAUGGUUGGUGGAUCGGAGGCGGGGGGAUCGGCUCGGGAAGACUCUUCGGUAGGAAGCUCUUCACUCGCCUCCGUAGUCCUCCCUGCCAAAAAGUCUCCCAGUUCUUUUACUUCCGAAGAAGUUGGUUUGAUCAGAGACACUGCAAAUAACCAUAUAUUAAAACCCUUGUCACUUAAAUACCUCAAAAAACUAUAUUACAGAGUUGUUCGAAACUUACAUUUGUGAUCAUACAGCCAGGCUUGUUUGGUCAGAAGUGUAAAACUCCAUUCUUUUGGAGGAAUCUUCUUCAGAAAGUCUCCCAUCUCCUUCACACGCUCUUCGGGAAUAUCUCCGAAGUCAGCAGAGAUCCGAUCUGAGAUGGUCCAAUCUGGAAGAGUAGAGAUUUCUGGUCCUGUGACGAAGAACCAUUUCUCGUGCCAUCCCUUAUUGCUCGAAGGGGUACUCAUCAGGGACCUCUUCUCAAAUUUGGAGUUCGGGCGAGGAGAUUGUUUGCUCAGCAUCUUAAAGCCUCGUUCUCGGGAUCUACCGGCUGAGAAGAGGGUGAAGAAAAUGUCGACAGAGGGAGUAAUCCCUAACUCAUGGCAGAAGGCAAUGAAUGCCAAUAUGUGGAUGUAGGAAUUGGGCACCAGCUGAGCGAAACCCACUCCUAUGAACCCUAGGAGGGUAACAACGAAAGCGUGAAGGGGUAGACGAAUCCCCUUUUCGAGAAAGGUAGCCGGCAUGGCGACCCAACCAUCUGGCCGCUGGUACAUUCGCUCUUCAGGAGCAGGAGCCCUUAUAGCAUAAUUAUCUGGGAUCUGAUAACGAGUCCGGAGGGUACGUAUCUCAGAUUCCGUGACAGUAGAUGGAAUGUUGGCAUGAGGAAACUGUUCCCCAUCCUUGAAGAAAUCAGCAGGAGAUGGAGGGUUUGAACUCGAACCCUCUUGGUUAGGGUUUGGAUUGGGGGAAACUGUGCUAGCGGGAGUCACACGAAGAGGAGAAGUCUGGCUAGAGCUCACAGUCACCAUUGUUGAAAUUUCGUAAGACAGAGAAAGAAGUUCUGGGAAGGAGAAGAAAGCUCAAAAGUUCAAAUUGGCAGGUAAAACCGUCAAAAUUGGUAAAGUUUACCUUUUAUAUUGACGGUUACACAGUAAUCGAGGGCGGCACAUUUAAUUCACAGCAAUGAUGGUGAAUUGGAAGAGGUAUCGUACGGUUUUGGAUCUAAAUAUCUUGACCAGAGUGGACUUAUGUCUAUUGGGCCUCCCAUUUCUGUCUCUGAUGUCGAUUUGGACCAAAUUAGUUGGGCUUUGGUAAGUUUCACUCUGAACCUCUUGUGACUUAUCAUGAUCCGUUAUAUCAUGGGCCUAUAUUGUUUAUAGUCUUCCAUUAAACCCCCUGUUUAAUAAAAGACUAGGGGGCAAUGUUGGGCCAUGAUCCUUUUCCUUAUUGGGCCAGACUUAAUGGGCUCCUCCCUUGGAUUAUGUUACUUUUGUCCUAUUGAUCCGAAUGAUUUGGGCCCAAUUACUUGAUCAUUUCGUUGGGUUAUCUCGGUUGGAUCCGGUCAUAUGGGUCAUUUCCUUUAUUUGGGCUUAGUCAUUGAAUUAGCCCAUUAUGUAAAUUGUCACUUAACCCAACUUUGACCGGUAAUCAUUACACCAAAAAAUAGUUGACUGUUAUGUCUGCCACCUUUCUGCAUGGCAUUAAUGAGGAUGGGACUCAGAUGACCGGCGGUGGCAAAUAGUGGUAGCAGGUGAGGAAGUAGGCUACAUACUUUCGGCUGAAAUGACCGGGAGUGGGAAAAAGGUGUCAGGAGGUGAUGGGUGGCACGGUAAACCGGGAUUGGAUUACGUAUGGGGCUAGGAUCACAAAAAGGGAGGUAAGUAACAAAAUAUUACAACACACACGAUCAUAUUAUUAUUUUUUCUCAGGCAUUAGACAUUAUUUUUUCCCUCCAUUGUUGACUUUGUGAUCGCCGAUACUGACUCUCACGCCGGAGCUAUCCCCCGACGGUCCAACCGUCAAGCUUUUGGUGUUGACUUGUUGAACUGUGCAGGAUAUCGGACGCGUCUUGGUGAUUGAAACGUGGAGAAAGAUCUUGGCGUUAACACUCCUCUUCAUGGGAAUUAAACUGAUCAUCUGUCAUCUUUCUUUGUUGCUUUGCUUUUUAAGGCAGCACUUCUCAAAGGCUAUCCAUCAGAAUUGACCAUAGUGGCUUUCUAUUGCUUGUUUGGUUUGGGGCCAUCCAAUGCACACUAGUCUCUUUAGUUGCAGAGAGAGACCACCCAAAUGCUUGGAAAAUAAGGACUGGGAUCGAGCUAAUCGCUAUCAUCUACUCGGUAAGUUAACUAGCCAGCUUUUUAAUUCGCCUAGUGGACUAGUGGUCAUGGAUGAAGCUUCCUACCUACAACUAGAGUAUCUAAUCUGGUUCCUAUUUUAUUAGGCUGUCUUUGGAUGUGUGGUAACAUUUUGGGUACAAACAUGUGUAUUAUUUUAUACAAAUAAUAUAUUACAAAAUUAAAUAAAAAUAAAUAUUUUUAUAUGUUAUUUAGUGAUGUACUAUUAAAAAAGUUUAAUGAGUAAAUUAAAUGAAUUAUAAUACAUAUAAUUUAUGGAGAUUUGUAAUGGUUAAAUUUAUAUUAAAUACUUAUUAUUGAGUCAUUAUUUAUUUAUUUAUUUUUACCGUUGCAAUAUUAUUAGAUUACCGUUGCUAUGUUGGAUAUUACCGUUGUCAUCAUAUAUAUAUCUUCUGUAGCAUGUNNNNNNNNNNNNNNNNNNNNNNNNNNNNNNNNNNNNNNNNNNNNNNNNNNNNNNNNNNNNNNNNNNNNNNNNNNNNNNNNNNNNNNNNNNNNNNNNNNNNUAGUGAGUGGGUUUAUCUUUGAUCUUAACUUUUUAACGCGAAGAACUUUCGCCCUAUCGCGUAGAGGUAUGUCAAGUAGACUCCUCUUAAUUGGAGCUGAUUCAGAAGGUGCAGUAACAGGGUCAGAUGGAGGGGUUGAUUGUGGGAUUGCUUCAGGAAAGAUCUCCGCGUCACUUUCAGGAUCUAUAUCACGUUGGAUAGUUUUGGCUUUUUUGGCGGCUUUCUUCCUUCGGCGAGGUCUGAGGGUUUCUUCGGGAAUGAGAGGCUCGUCAGCUUCAGGCUCAUCAUUCUGAAGGGAAAUGGUUGGUGGAUCGGAGACGGGGGGAUCAGCUCGGGAAGACUCUUCGGUAGGAAGCUCUUCACUCGCCUCCGUAGUCCUCCCUGCCAAAAAGUCUCCCAGCUCUUUUACUUCCGAAGAAGUUGGUUUGAUCAGAGACACUGCAAAUAACCAUAUGUUAAAACUCAUGCCACUUAAAUACCUCAAAAAACCAUAUUACAGAGUUGUUCAAAACUUACAUUUGUGGUCGUAUAGCCAGGCUUGUUUAGUCAGAAGUGUAN
Molecule: long non-coding RNA, 4384 nt
Filed under: Panax ginseng (ginseng)
Lineage: Eukaryota; Viridiplantae; Streptophyta; Magnoliopsida; Apiales; Araliaceae
Description: long non-coding RNA (PGIN_LNC007808)
Source: RNAcentral